Molecule: long non-coding RNA, 712 nt
Filed under: Solanum lycopersicum (tomato)
Lineage: Eukaryota; Viridiplantae; Streptophyta; Magnoliopsida; Solanales; Solanaceae
Description: long non-coding RNA (SLYC_LNC000938)
Source: RNAcentral
UGUGGAGCAUCUAUUGCUCAAAGAAUGUCUACUCACAGAAAAUUGCUCAUAUUUCCACCAUAAAUGUUGAUUGGGAGAACCAAUAAUGAUUAAAAUAAGUGGUGCUUCGACAGAUGUAAGUUAUUAUAUUUCUUUAGUUCAUUUGAUUAUUGGUUAGUUCUUUUUCAGUUAAAUCUUUUUGACUAGUGUGAUCCUCUAUUGCUUCUAUGAAAUCAAUAAAAUAUAUGUAGAUUUUUAAAAGAAAUCUUAUUAUCUUAAUAUAUGUAAACAUCAAAACAAUUCAUUUAUUCUUGUGAAAAUUCUCAGUUGUUGUCUUAGUUGACUAUUAAGACUCACUUUUCUUGUCUAUUAACCUAUCUUCUCGCUCAAAUCUUGUAGACUGAAAUAUUUUUUAUCAUCAUGAAAGUUCUGUUCAUAGAAGUCGAUGGAGAAUACAUUCAAUGAUUAAAACAAAUGGUGCUCUCACGGAUGUAUUUUGGUAACAUUAUAUGUAAGCUUGUUACCGCUCUAGCUCAAUUUGUACAAGGAAAGUUCUGAUGCAAUUCUAUAUUGACUAUAUUGUUUCUUGAAUGUGGUCUAAAAGCAAAGUGUAAGUGAAUAAAAAUAGUUUCACAGUUUUGUCGCUAACCAUAAAUGUUUAAUUAGUUUAUGCUUUGAACUAUUUAUACAGAAAUCUGUCUAAUCAUUGGAAUGAUGUAUAUCUUUAAUUCGA